AACGAACGCUGGCGGCAUGCCUAACACAUGCAAGUCGAACGAAGCCUUCGGGCUUAGUGGCGCACGGGUGCGUAACGCGUGGGAAUCUGCCCUCAGGUACGGAAUAACUCAGGGAAACUUGGGCUAAUACCGUAUAAUGACUUCGGUCCAAAGAUUUAUCGCCUGAGGAUGAGCCCGCGUCGGAUUAGCUAGUUGGUGAGGUAAAAGCUCACCAAGGCGACGAUCCGUAGCNGGUCUGAGAGGAUGAUCAGCCACACUGGGACUGAGACACGGCCCAGACUCCUACGGGAGGCAGCAGUGGGGAAUAUUGGACAAUGGGCGAAAGCCUGAUCCAGCAAUGCCGCGUGAGUGAUGAAGGCCUUAGGGUUGUAAAGCUCUUUUGGCGGGGACGAUAAUGACGGUACCCGCAGAAUAAGC
Molecule: ribosomal RNA, 417 nt
Filed under: uncultured bacterium
Lineage: Bacteria
Description: bacterial SSU rRNA
Rfam family: Bacterial small subunit ribosomal RNA
Source: RNAcentral